CUCGCUGACUGCCAAAUGUGGGAUCUACUUCAAUUGCAUCAAGGUAAUGGAGCUGUCAUCGUAACCAAUACAUUUGAACCUCCGUUUUAACUGAUCAUAUAAUCAUUUGUCAUUUGAAUUUGCAGGAGCAUUAGAGCGGAGGUAAGGCUGAAACUGAACAAAGAACUUAUUUGACGUUCUAAGCUGAGGAGCAUUGAAUUAAGGAUGAAUCAAUUUGACGUUCAACCUGGUAUUUCUCCUGGUGAUCCCUUGAGAAGGUACGCUGUCUUGCAACCUUUUUUUGCCUUCAAAUUUUCAUAACUUGAGCUAAUUAUGGUUAGUAUUUUUGAUUUUCCAUGAUAUCAUUUUUGUUCGUUGCUUUGUGUCUAAGCUGAGUAAGUGUAGGGUAUGUUCAUCUUUAUACUUCGGGAUAUUCAAGAUUUCACGGUUGUUCAGUGAAACAAGUAGGUAAAAUUGGCUGGUUUUUCUGAACUUCAAUGUGUAAAAACUAAAAGGCAUGGAUAGUUGCUGGUUAAUUGUAGUUUUUGAUGAUUUCUGCUUGUGUAUACUGGAGAAAAUUAUAAGUUGGUCAGUGCUAUUUAGUUAAACAUCAUGCAAUCUGUUAAUAUUUGUGUGAUGAAAACUUGAUGAUAUUAUGGUGUGUAUAGAAAAACAACUCAGAGAAGAGUUUUCCAUAGGUGGAGUGGUCCUUGUCUGGAGUUGAAACAACCUAGGGUUUUCGGGGUUUAGUUAAGAAUUCGGAAAUAAUCCUGGCUUCACUAACUAAUUCUUGUAUUAAAGUGCCUCAGAUAUUAUUUUUUACUGGUUUCUGAAUGUGGAAGAUAGCAGACUUUUGAAGCCAGUUGUAAGAGAUCCAUGUCGUUGAUGUCCCUGUUCCUUAGUAGAUCAAUUAUCAAUCUUGUAUAGCUAGAUGAAAUCUUGCAGUAGAUAUUGGUUUGGUAGUACUUAUUUAUACAAAGAUUUAAGGGCUUUCUGAUGUCAAUGCCAGGGUUACAGUUUCAAACUGGUUUAUUGUUGAAUCAGCAUAGCAUACCAUUAUUUCCAUGCAAAGUUUGGUUGCUAUCAGCAUCUGUACACCGUAUAUUUUGCUGAAGCAGUAUUUUCUAGCUGAGCAGUUCAAUACAAGUUCAAUUUGAGUUGUAUGCUCUUAUCCCCCACCCCUUUUCUCCCCAGAGAAGGAUUUAUUUGUGCUUUUGACAUCUUUGGCUUGCUUACAACGCUCUGUAUUUACAUGUCCUUAACCACCAUCCAACACAGUUUCUUGAGUACCCGAGUACAUCUAUUGGAGGCUGGGACUUGGGCGUUGUUUGUUCCUCUCCUUGCCCCUUCACCCCCUGCAUUGCUUUAUCUGAAAUUUGUGAUCAGGUUCUAUGUUCUGAGUGUGUAUGCUACAAUGAAUAGAUUUUCUAACCUCAAGAAAAUGAAUUAGGCCACUAAAUGCUUCAUCUUCCUCAGUAAAAAGGGGAAAAAAAAAUGUUUCAUCAGUUCCUGUAUCUUUAUUGUCCAAAUCAGUUUUGUUCUGUGAUAUUUAUGUUGUUUGUGUGCUUACAUGCUUAGGUACUUCGGUAUUUUUGGAUAGAUAGUCACUUUUUUAAACUUUUGGCUAUUUAUGACAAGGGAGCGGGGCUAGAUAUCUGGGAUCUGGUCCGCUGGUAUUACAUGAGAACUUUAAUAAAUCUGCAUGUGCAUUGAGUAACGUCAUGGAAUAUCGCUUACAAUAAAGUCUUUCCUUGGGUCUUAUAAUUAGUCGAUCACAUUACUGAAAACUUGAAGGAUUAAGGAGAUGUUGAAGUAUGUUUCUGUUCCUCUAUGUUCGAUUCUUUUUGAGUAAGCUAUCAUCUGUAAUUUUCAGCCGAUUAUUCUUGAUUCUACCUGCUAUAUCUGUGCAUUACAUAGCUUUCUGAUACUUUGGCCUGUUUCGUACUUAUAAGUGUGAUAUCUAAUUGCUGCAAUUUUGUAGAGAAUAAGUUAUUUAUAGUACGUAUAGUAGAUGGUUGGGUAGUGACCUAUAGGGUUAUUUGCUGCCAAAUCAGUGGUUGGCAUGGCUAAGCCUUUUGAUAGAGUUGAAGACCUUUUAACAGGGAUUAUAACUUCUUCAAAGAUUUGGAUAAUGUAUACUUAGAUUUAGUGCAACAAGAGAACAAAAAUUAAAUCUACCUCUGUUGGUUACCAUUGGAUUGUUUAGGUCUCUGUGUAGAGCUUCUAAUGCUCUAUUCUUCAUGGACCUUCCACCUCCGACUUUUCUCCCAAGGUUUCCCCUUCUGCCUUCUCAACUUUUUCUUGCUUAAACCGUCUUUUUCUGUCAAAUACUGAAUCUAUGCAUUAAGUUUUAACAUUUAUAAUGUUUCUAUAAUCCCAUCGGUAUAUCCAUAUUUUUGUUUUCCUUCGUUUUUGUUGGCAAGUUGGAAUCUAUUAACUUCCAAGCAUAUUAUUUCUUUUUUUUUUUUAAAAAAAAAAAGCUAAGAUGUUUAUGCUUGGCUCCUCAAUAUAAGUAACUGGGUAUUUCAAUAAGUGGACUUUAUUGUGAAUUCUAUAUUUAAGCUUAUUUUAUGUAUUUAAUUAUUUCAUAUUUUUACUCGCUUGUUCCGUCUACUGGUGGUACCUCUGUUUGCUUUAAUACUUGAUAUGAUUUUAAUAUGUUUAAGUGUAUAACUCCUUUUCUUCUUAUAUACUUUCCUUUUCCUCACAUUCUCAGCUUCUAAUAUCUUUGAUUCAUUGUAUAGUCGUACCUCGGUAUCUAUCCUGCUUUUUUUUGCUUGAUUUUUGAUAGUGAAUGAAGCAAAAUAUGCAAAAACUUUUAAGGGUGUUGCUAUGUUAACCUUGGUUCCUCUGCAUGGACUAAUUUUUUAAGAUAUGCUGUAAGUUACUUAAAGUUACUCAACUUUUCUUAUUUUUUAUUAAUCAUAAAUGCAAACCUCUUCAUGAUGGAUCCCUUUUGAGGUUUUAAUUUUAGCCAACCUUUAGGGUUUACGGUUAGUGUUAUAGAUUGUUAAGUUUUGUGAUUGCUUCUAUCUAUUAGAUCAUUAGGUUUUAUGCUUAUGUUAUGAAUCUGUGCUAGCUGGAUGCAGUUAUGAAAUAUUAAAUGACUGUUCUUUGUAUACGGCACUAAAUUUCGGUAUUGUUAACUUUGUUUUUGCGAAAGUGUUUGUCUACUUGGGUUUCAAUUUAAAUGUAAGCUGAUGAAAAUGUUGUAUUUCUUCAGCAUUUGAAUUUUCAAUGAAUGAUAUGUGGAUGAAUAUGAUAGGUACUUUAGGUAGUUACAAGCUAAUUGUUAUUAAUUUCAAAUUAAAUUCAUUUAGAAGUCUAAUUCAUUGAAUGCCAAAGCCUACUGAUUUGAAGGUUUAUCUUUAGAUUCAGAUGGUAAUGCAUAUUAUCAAUAAGAUUGCUUCAUCUACACUGCCUUGGUAAAUGUGGUGGGAGGCGACAGGAGAUGUUAUUAAAGCAUCUGGGAGCAAUGGAUUAUUAGGAUGAGGCUGAAAAAGAACCUAUAUGUCAUUCUAAGCUGUCUUUGUUUUCUCUUGCUGUUCACUGGACAAGGUGAUCAGGAGUUUGAUGUGCCUGCUGCAUCACUAUGGAACAUUUUAAUUGGGGCAGUGGCUUAAGAUUGGGAUCAGGAGUUGUUUGGCAUUGUAAGAUUCAUGUGAUUCAGGUCUGUUGUUUUACGUUUCCUGACUUGCACCUUUUGUGGACUCAGGAAGCUCAGGGGCGGUUGCUUAUGAUUGAGUUCCGGUGCCAACACUCGCAAAGGAGAAAGACUCUUCAUGUUUCAAUUUGCAACUAAUCCUUUUUCAAGUUUCAGUCUAUGAAGUAUGAACCAGAAUUUAUUGAAUAUUCUGUAAUUCAAUAUUUCAUGUCAAAUCCAGAGCCUUCUUUUUUUUAUUAUAGUAUUAUUAUUUUUUUCCAAGGUAAGGUAUAGGGGGGAAAUGAGGCUCGAAGUUUCGAACCCCCGUCACAUGGGGGCCAUAGUGCCAUACCAGAGCCUUCAUGUACUAGUGGAAGUUGUACAAUGUUAUUUUAUUUGAUGAAGUGAAAUAUGAGUUCAGUUUGACAACGUAGUUCCUUAUUUUGUAGUUUCAAAUUUCCAAGUUUUGUUAAAUCUGCAAUUUUUCCUGUAUAUCAGUACUGCCCAAUUGCCAAUUCCAAGCA
This is a long non-coding RNA of Chenopodium quinoa (quinoa), 4146 nucleotides long. RefSeq lists it as uncharacterized. The transcript is spliced from 4 exons. NCBI's taxonomy places the organism in Eukaryota, Viridiplantae, Streptophyta, Magnoliopsida, Caryophyllales, Amaranthaceae. The record is from RefSeq and is a predicted model, not a curated record.